This 423-nucleotide ribosomal RNA is filed under the name uncultured Gammaproteobacteria bacterium. Its description in RNAcentral is "bacterial SSU rRNA". It matches the Rfam family "Bacterial small subunit ribosomal RNA", at positions 608 to 1029 of the family's 1533-position model. Lineage: Bacteria; Pseudomonadati; Pseudomonadota; Gammaproteobacteria. The record is from RNAcentral.
CUCAACCUGGGAAUGGCAUUCGAUACUGUCCAGCUAGAGUCUGGUAGAGGGAAGUGGAAUUUCCGGUGUAGCGGUGAAAUGCGUAGAUAUCGGAAGGAACACCAGUGGCGAAGGCGACUUCCUGGACCAAGACUGACGCUGAGGUGCGAAAGCGUGGGUAGCAAACAGGAUUAGACACCCUGGUAGUCCACGCCGUAAACGUUGAGAACUAGCCGUUGGACCCAUUUAAGGGUUUAGUGGCGCAGCUAACGCAAUAAGUUCUCCGCCUGGGGAGUACGGCCGCAAGGCUAAAACUCAAAGGAAUUGACGGGGGCCCGCACAAGCGGUGGAGCAUGUGGUUUAAUUCGAUGCAACGCGAAGAACCUUACCUGCCCUUGACAUCCUCGGAACUUGGUAGAGAUACCUUGGUGCCUUCGGGAGCCG